This 753-nucleotide ribosomal RNA is filed under the name uncultured Actinomyces sp. Its description in RNAcentral is "bacterial SSU rRNA". It matches the Rfam family "Bacterial small subunit ribosomal RNA", at positions 28 to 776 of the family's 1533-position model. Lineage: Bacteria; Bacillati; Actinomycetota; Actinomycetes; Actinomycetales; Actinomycetaceae. The record is from RNAcentral.
GACGAACGCUGGCGGCGUGCUUAACACAUGCAAGUCGAACGCUGAAGGCUCAGCUUGCUGGGCUGGAUGAGUGGCGAACGGGUGAGUAACACGUGAGUAACCUGCCCUCUUCUUUGGGAUAACGGUCGGAAACGGCUGCUAAUACCGGGUAUUCACUGUCCUUCGCAUGGGGGGUGGUGGAAAGGUUUUUUCUGGUGGGGGAUGGGCUCGCGGCCUAUCAGCUUGUUGGUGGGGUGAUGGCUUACCAAGGCUUUGACGGGUAACCGGCCUGAGAGGGUGACCGGUCACAUUGGGACUGAGAUACGGCCCAGACUCCUACGGGAGGCAGCAGUGGGGAAUAUUGCACAAUGGGCGAAAGCCUGAUGCAGCGACGCCGCGUGAGGGAUGAAGGCCUUCGGGUUGUAAACCUCUUUCGCUCAUGGUCAAGCCGCAACUUUGGGUUGUGGUGAGGGUAGUGGGUAAAGAAGCACCAGCUAACUACGUGCCAGCAGCCGCGGUAAUACGUAGGGUGCGAGCGUUGUCCGGAAUUAUUGGGCGUAAAGGGCUUGUAGGCGGUUUGUCGCGUCUGCCGUGAAAUCCUCUGGCUUAACUGGGGGCGUGCGGUGGGUACGGGCAGACUUGAGUGCGGUAGGGGAGACUGGAACUCCUGGUGUAGCGGUGGAAUGCGCAGAUAUCAGGAAGAACACCGGUGGCGAAGGCGGGUCUCUGGGCCGUUACUGACGCUGAGGAGCGAAAGCGUGGGGAGCGAACAGG